CCCCUAUCUUGUGAUUAUUUAUACAUAUUGCCCAUGUUUUGUUUUAUUUUUUGAAAAAUAAGACCUUUCUUUGGUAAUUUCCAAGAUAAAACCCUAACCCCCCAGAAGCCAGAAGGAACGAAAUCCGUCCUCUCUAAUCCCAUCUUCCUGUCCUCCGAGUAAGGUAAUUUUCAAGCUAAAACCCUAACCCCAGAGGAGCAACGAAAUCCUUUCACUCUCAAACCCCAUCUUCCUGUCCUGCGAGUAAAAUAAGCACAAAAUAAAUAAAAAAGAAUGGCGUUUGGGCAAGUGGUGAUUGGUCCACCGGGAUCAGGCAAAACCACCUACUGCAAUGGCAUGUCUCAAUUCUUAAGCCUCAUCGGAAGGAAGGUUGCUGUUAUCAAUUUGGAUCCAGCAAACGAUGCAUUGCCGUAUGAUUGUGCUGUUAACAUUGAAGAUCUUAUCAAACUAAGUGAUGUAAUGAACGAGCAUUCCCUUGGUCCCAAUGGAGGUCUUGUUUAUUGCAUGGAUUAUUUGGAGAAGAAUGUUGACUGGUUGCAAUCCAAAUUGGAACCUCUGUUGAAAGAUCACUACCUUCUUUUUGAUUUUCCGGGCCAGGUGGAAUUGUUUUUUCUCCAUUCGAAUGCCAAGAAUGUUAUAAUGAAACUCAUUAAGAAGUUGAACCUUAGGUUGACUGCCGUGCAUUUAGUUGAUGCCCAUCUUUGCAGUGAUCCUGGAAAAUAUGUCAGUGCAUUGCUUUUGUCACUAUCAACAAUGCUUCAUCUGGAACUCCCACAUAUCAAUGUCUUGUCUAAGAUUGAUCUAAUUGAGAGCUAUGGCAAGCUAGCUUUUAACCUCGAUUUCUAUACAGACGUGCAAGACUUAUCAUAUUUGCAGCACCAACUUGAUCAGGAUCCUCGUGCUGCUAAGUACAGGAAGUUUACAAAGGAGUUGUGUGAUGUAGUACAAGACUUCAGUCUCGUUGAUUUUACAACUUUGGACAUUCAGGACAAAGAGAGUGUAGGGAAUCUUGUGAAGUUGAUAGACAGGACCAAUGGUUACAUCUUUGCUGGUGUGGAAUCCAGUGCAGUUGAAUUCAGCAAGAUUGCAGUUCGCCCUGUUGACUGGGAUUACUACAGAGUUGCAGCAGUGCAAGAGAAGUACAUGAAGGAUGAUGAGAAUUUUGACAAUGACAACUGAAAACCUAGUUUGUGUAUAGAUGCACUUGCUGAUGAAGUUUUCUCGCCAUUUUGUGGGGAGCAAAGUAACAUCUUGCCUUUGAGGACUAGAGAUAAUACAUCGUAUCUGUAAGAAGUUUCUGCCUCGUCGUUCAAGUUAACUAAAGCGCGUGGAUUAAUGUUAUUUGCGGUCCCAAAAGCGCGUGGUUUUGUUUUCUUUGAAAUUUGAUGCACGGGCUCCUUCUAGAGAGAGCGCGUGGAUUUGUUUUCUUCGAAAUUUGACACACGUGCUCCUUCUAGAGAGAGUACUAAAUGACGGAGCAAACUAUUUCCAAUGGCAAGCUAGCCUUGACAUUUUGAAUGAACUAGGACGCAACUUACAAGCCGUCAUGUAGA
Molecule: RNA transcript, 1553 nt
Organism: Populus euphratica (Euphrates poplar)
Lineage: Eukaryota; Viridiplantae; Streptophyta; Magnoliopsida; Malpighiales; Salicaceae
Gene: QQT1
Gene name: P-loop containing nucleoside triphosphate hydrolases superfamily protein
Exons: 12
Source: RefSeq, a predicted model, not a curated record